RNAcentral lists this ribosomal RNA (207 nucleotides) under uncultured bacterium. Its description in RNAcentral is "partial 16S ribosomal RNA". It matches the Rfam family "Bacterial small subunit ribosomal RNA", at positions 568 to 774 of the family's 1533-position model. The record is from RNAcentral.
CACGUAGGCGGAUAUUUAAGUCAGGGGUGAAAUCCCAGAGCUCAACUCUGGAACUGCCUUUGAUACUGGGUAUCUUGAGUAUGGAAGAGGUAAGUGGAAUUCCGAGUGUAGAGGUGAAAUUCGUAGAUAUUCGGAAGAACACCAGUGGCGAAGGCGGCUCACUGGACAGGUAUUGACGCUGAGGUGCGAAAGCGUGGGGAGCAAACA